Molecule: ribosomal RNA, 190 nt
Filed under: Bacteroidaceae bacterium
Lineage: Bacteria; Pseudomonadati; Bacteroidota; Bacteroidia; Bacteroidales; Bacteroidaceae
Description: partial 16S ribosomal RNA
Rfam family: Bacterial small subunit ribosomal RNA
Source: RNAcentral
UAGUAAUCGCGCAUCAGCCAUGGCGCGGUGAAUACGUUCCCGGGCCUUGUACACACCGCCCGUCAAGCCAUGAAAGCUGGGGGCGCCUGAAGUCCGUAGCCGCAAGGGUCGGCCUAGGGCGAAACCGGUAAUUGGGGCUAAGUCGUAACAAGGUAGCCGUACCGGAAGGUGCGGCUGGAACACCUCCUUU